RNA transcript from Quercus lobata, 1132 nucleotides. RefSeq lists it as uncharacterized. The record is from RefSeq and is a predicted model, not a curated record. Lineage: Eukaryota; Viridiplantae; Streptophyta; Magnoliopsida; Fagales; Fagaceae. The transcript is spliced from 4 exons.
UAUCAAAUGCGGUCAAGGUUUGAUAUUAAAAAAAAAAAAAAAAAAAAAAUCCUCAAUUGAAAAAAACCCUAAAUUCACAAAAACUCUAAGCUCACUCUCAACCUAGCUCUCGAUCCCUAAUCUCGCCGAUCCCUUUGACUACCGACCCUCAUUUUCUAUUUUCUAUUACCAAAUCCACCACCACCUCUCUCUUUCCCUAACCCAAUCCCUAACAAAUACAAGGCAAGGCCUUCAUCUUCUUCUAAAACCGCCAUGAAAGUCCGGUCAGUGAAGCUCAGGGAGGCCCACAAGGCCUCCUCCUCCAGCAAUGGCCGUGGCGGCGGCUCCUUCUGCUCCUUGGUGUAGGACCAGCAAGCGAAUCACCUCGUCACUGCCUCCUCUUCCGAUCCUUCUAUCUCCAUCCACGACCCUCUUCUUCCGUCAAGCGCUCCCAGGAUCGUCCGCCACCACCGCGACGGCGUCACCGCCAUCGCCAUUAGCCCCAACUCCACUUGUCUCGCUUUUGGAUCCAUCGAUCACUCCGUCAAGCUCUACAAAUUUCUCGCUGGUGGAGAAUCUUCACCUGAAUUCACAAGAUCAUCUCUUAUGUUUUUUUUCUAGAAAUCAUCUUCUUGUUUCUUACAUAAAGUGUACCUUGUACUUUACAUCUUAAAGUGAAAUACAUAGUUAUUACCCAUUAAAAGCAUGUGUAUGUAGUUCUAUAAUCCGUACUUGUAAAAAAAAAAAAAAGUAGCUCUAUAAUCCGCUAGAAAAGUUUCUGCAGAUCACUUUACUUGACUUAUAUUUUUUGGUGAUAGGAUCCAAGGGAGAAGGCUAAAUCAGAGGCAAGGGAUUGGUUGAACAAUGUGGUACCAAAAUUUCUGUCAAAAAGUAGUCCUCAUAAGGGAACAAGCUUACUGUAGGGAAGUGAUGGCAGGCAUGGCAAGACUGGAACUUUGAGGUCAGUUAGGAAGUGUUGUUGCUGCGUGCUGGCUAUGGCUGUAUUUCUUCAUGCAAUUAGAAUGUAAAAAACUCUUAAAAAUUUUUUGUGAUGUAGAUGAUCUUUUGUCAGUAGAACUUACAAACUGAUAUAUUUUUUGUUGGGAACUUGCAAAAUUUUGGCAAUGAACUUCAGAAAAUUUAGUAUUUAUUA